CCUACGGGAGGCAGCAGUGAGGAAUAUUGGUCAAUGGACGCGAGCCUGAACCAGCCAUGCCGCGUGCAGGAAGACGGCCCUAUGGGUUGUAAACCUCUUUUGUCGGGGAGCAAAGCGAGCCACGUGUGACUUAUUGAGAGUACCCGAAGAAAAAGCAUCGGCUAACUCCGUGCCAGCAGCCGCGGUAAUACGGAGGAUGCGAGCGUUAUCCGGAUUUAUUGGGUUAAACGGGUGCGCAGGCGGAGGUGCAAGUCAGCGGUAAAAUUGCGGGGCUCAACCCCGUACUGCCGUUGAAACUGGAUGCCUUGAGUGCGCGAGAGGUAUGCGGAAUGCGUGGUGUAGCGGUGAAAUGCAUAGAUAUCACGCAGAACUCCGAUUGCGAAGGCAGCAUACCGGCGCGCAACUGACGCUCAUGCACGAAAGCGUGGGUAUCGAACAGGAUUAGAUACCCUUGUAGUC
RNAcentral lists this ribosomal RNA (459 nucleotides) under uncultured bacterium. Its description in RNAcentral is "partial 16S ribosomal RNA". It matches the Rfam family "Bacterial small subunit ribosomal RNA", at positions 338 to 795 of the family's 1533-position model. The record is from RNAcentral.